RNAcentral lists this ribosomal RNA (1242 nucleotides) under metagenome. RNAcentral's name for it is "bacterial LSU rRNA". It matches the Rfam family "Bacterial large subunit ribosomal RNA", at positions 1564 to 2815 of the family's 2925-position model. The record is from RNAcentral.
UGAAUACGAGAUGCUACGGCAUUGAAGCAGUGUAUGUCAGACUUCUAAGAAAAGCUCGCAAUGUCAUAAACAAUAAAUGCCUGUACCAUAACCGACACAGGUGGGUAGGUAGAGUAUACUAAGGGGCGCGAGAUAACUCUCUCUAAGGAACUCGGCAAAAUGACUCCGUAACUUCGGGAGAAGGAGUGCCUUAUUUUAUAAGGUUGCAAUAACAAGAUCCAAGCAACUGUUUACCAAAAACACAGGUCUCCGCUAAGUCGAAAGACGAUGUAUGGGGGCUGACGCCUGCCCAGUGCCAGAAGGUUAAAGAAGUUGGUUAGCUUCGGCGAAGCUGAUGACUGAAGCCCUGGUGAACGGCGGCCGUAACUAUAACGGUCCUAAGGUAGCGAAAUUCCUUGUCGGGUAAGUUCCGACCCGCACGAAAGGCGUAAUGAUUUGGAUACUGUCUCGGAGAGGGGCUCGGUGAAAUAGACUUGUCUGUGAAGAUGCGGACUACCUGCACCUGGACAGAAAGACCCUAUGAAGCUUUACUGUAACUUGAGAUUGAAAUUGGACUUUAUUUGCGCAGUAUAGGUGGGAGACGUUGAGAAUAUUCUUGCGGGAAUAUUGGAGUCAUCAGUGAGAUACCACUCUUGUAAUGUUAGAUUUCUAACUUUGUAUCAUUAUCUGGUCAAAGGACAGUUUCAGGCGGGCAGUUUGACUGGGGCGGUCGCCUCCUAAACGGUAACGGAGGCGCACAAAGGUUUCCUCUGAACGUGUAAAAAUCGUAUCUAGAGUGUAAAGGCAUAAGGAAGCUUGACUGUGAGACCUACAAGUCGAGCAGGGACGAAAGUCGGUCUUAGUGAUCUGACGGUGCUGAGUGGAAAGGCCGUCACUCAACGGAUAAAAGUUACUCUAGGAUAACAGGCUGAUCUCCCCCAAGAGUUCACAUCGACGGGGAGGUUUGGCACCUCGAUGUCGGCUCAUCGCAUCCUGGGGCGGUAGUACGUCCCAAGGGUUGGGCUGUUCGCCCAUGAAAGCGGUACGCGAGCUGGGUUCAGAACGUCGUGAGACAGUUCGGUCCAUAUCCGGUGUAGGCGUUAGAAUAUUGAGAGGAGCCUUCUUUAGUACGAGAGGACCGAGAAGGACAUACCUCUGGUGUACCAGUUAUCGUGCCAACGGUAAACGCUGGGUAGCUAUGCAUGGAGUGGAUAACCGCUGAAAGCAUCUAAGUGGGAAGCCCACCUCAAGAUAAGUAUUCUC